CCUACGGGAGGCCGCAGUGGGGAAUAUUGCACAAUGGGGGAAACCCUGAUGCAGCGACGCCGCGUGCGUGAAGAAGUAAUUCGUUAUGUAAAGCUCUAUCAGCAGGGAAGAAAAUGACGGUGCCUGAGUAAGAAGCCCCGGCUAACUACGUGCCAGCAGCCGCGGUAAUACGUAGGGGGCAAGCGUUAUCCGGAUUUACUGGGUGUAAAGGGAGCGUAGACGGCAGUGCAAGUCUGGAGUGAAAGGGGGGGGCUCAACCCCCGGACUGCUCUGGAAACUGUACGGCUGGAGUGCAGGAGAGGUAAGUGGAAUUCCUAGUGUAGCGGUGAAAUGCGUAGAUAUUAGGAGGAACACCAGUGGCGAAGGCGGCUUACUGGACUGUAACUGACGUUGAGGCUCGAAAGCGUGGGGAGCAAACAGGAUUAGAUACCCGAGUAGUC
RNAcentral lists this ribosomal RNA (440 nucleotides) under uncultured bacterium. RNAcentral describes it as "partial 16S ribosomal RNA". It matches the Rfam family "Bacterial small subunit ribosomal RNA", at positions 338 to 795 of the family's 1533-position model. The record is from RNAcentral.